UAGCCUUUAGAAUUAUGCUAAACGUAUCUAAUACUAUUUAAAUGCACUUUAAUUUGUGGUGUUAGAUUGUUAGUUUUACAAGGCAAGAGAUCAACAAUGAUCCAUCAAGAAUGUUUGCGACAAGUGGACUGACAGACAAUCGCCAAAGUACACCUCAAAAUAGUCAUCAUAGUACUCUCCAAAUCAUGAAUGGUGGCCACUCCAUUUUUUCUCAAACUUAUAUGGACGAAAACCGUAUUGUCCAAGAAAAUGAAUGGAUUCAACACUCUACGCAACCAUUGCCUGUUGCUCCUCCUCCAAUAUAUGCUCCCAUGAUGGUUGAUUAGAGGCCAGGAGCGUUAGCUGCCUCCUUGUCAAUGUUAUUAUUGUCGUCUGUCGACAAGCAGGUCCCUUCAAUGAAAAUGUAUGUUUGAAAUAUCCCUCAAAUAAGACAUUUUUGAAUGGUUAUUCUACUUGUGUUUUUAAUUAUUAGAUUAAUACUCUGCUCUUUAGCCUUUGGAAUUUAUCAAAUCCUUAAGUUACUGGUUCA
This is a long non-coding RNA of Lycium ferocissimum, 529 nucleotides long. RefSeq lists it as uncharacterized. The record is from RefSeq and is a predicted model, not a curated record. NCBI's taxonomy places the organism in Eukaryota, Viridiplantae, Streptophyta, Magnoliopsida, Solanales, Solanaceae. The transcript is spliced from 2 exons.